AACGAACGCUGGCGGCAGGUCUUAGGCAUGCAAGUCGAACGGGUGAAGCAGGUGCUUGCACUUGUGGAUCUAGUGGCGCACGAGUGAGUAACGCGUGGGAAACUGCCCAUCACUGGGGAAUAACGUUUGGAAACGAACGCUAAUACCGCAUACGCCGGAUAAGAGCGCCUCCUUAGAGGGAGGCGGAGAAAGCGGCUUCGGCCGCGCCGGAGGAACGGCCCGCGUGCUAUUAGCUAGUUGGCGGGGUAACGGCCUACCAAGUCGACGAUCAGUAGCCGAACUGAGAGGUUGAUCGGCCACAUUGGGACUGAGACACGGCCCAGACUCCUACGGGAGGCAGCAGUGGGGGAUAUUGCGCAAUGGGGGCAACCCUGACGCAGCAACGCCGCGUGAAGGAAGAAGGUUUUCGGAUCGUAAACUUCUUUAAGUGGGGAAGAUAAUGACGGUACCCACAGAAUAAGCCACGGCUAACUACGUG
Molecule: ribosomal RNA, 478 nt
Filed under: uncultured bacterium
Lineage: Bacteria
Description: bacterial SSU rRNA
Rfam family: Bacterial small subunit ribosomal RNA
Source: RNAcentral